AUACGGAGGAUCCGAGCGUUAUCCGGAUUUAUUGGGUUUAAAGGGUGCGCAGGCGGGAGAUUAAGUCGGCGGUGAAAUUUUGCAGCUCAACUGUAAAAGUGCCUUCGAAACUGGUUUCCUUGAGUGUAGAUGAAGUAGGCGGAAUUUGUGGUGUAGCGGUGAAAUGCAUAGAUAUCACGAGGAACUCCGAUUGCGCAGGCAGCUUACUAAACUACUACUGACGCUCAGGCACGAAGGCGUGGGGAUCAAACAGGAUUAGAUACCCUGGUAGUCCACGCAGUAAACGAUGAUUACUAGCUGUUUGCGAUACAAUGUAAGCGGCUGAGCGAAAGCGUUAAGUAAUCCACCUGGGGAGUACGUGCGCAAGAAUGAAACUCAAAUGAAUUGACGGGG
RNAcentral lists this ribosomal RNA (393 nucleotides) under uncultured bacterium. Its description in RNAcentral is "partial 16S ribosomal RNA". It matches the Rfam family "Bacterial small subunit ribosomal RNA", at positions 523 to 918 of the family's 1533-position model. The record is from RNAcentral.